RNAcentral lists this ribosomal RNA (537 nucleotides) under uncultured Bacillota bacterium. RNAcentral describes it as "bacterial SSU rRNA". It matches the Rfam family "Bacterial small subunit ribosomal RNA", at positions 340 to 891 of the family's 1533-position model. Lineage: Bacteria; Bacillati; Bacillota. The record is from RNAcentral.
UACGGGAGGCAGCAGUGGGGAAUAUUGCACAAUGGGCGCAAGCCUGAUGCAGCAACGCCGCGUGAGGGAAGACGGUCUUCGGAUUGUAAACCUUUGUCUUUGGUGAAGAAGAAAGUGACGGUAGCCAAGGAGGAAGCCACGGCUAACUACGUGCCAGCAGCCGCGGUAAUACGUAGGUGGCAAGCGUUGUCCGGAAUUACUGGGUGUAAAGGGAGCGCAGGCGGGACAGCAAGUUGGACGUGAAAUACCGAGGCUUAACCACGGAGCUGCAUCCAAAACUGUUGUUCUUGAGUGAAGUAGAGGUAGGCGGAAUUCCGAGUGUAGCGGUGAAAUGCGUAGAUAUUCGGAGGAACACCAGUGGCGAAGGCGGCCUACUGGGCUUUAACUGACGCUGAGGCUCGAAAGUGUGGGGAGCAAACAGGAUUAGAUACCCUGGUAGUCCACACUGUAAACGAUGAUUGCUAGGUGUGGGGGGUCUGACCCCCUCCGUGCCGGAGUUAAAGCAAUAAGCAAUCCACCUGGGGAGUACGGCCACAA